RNAcentral lists this transfer RNA (70 nucleotides) under Podarcis lilfordi (Lilford's wall lizard). RNAcentral's name for it is "tRNA.Ile". The stretch from base 3 to 61 matches the Rfam family "tRNA", at positions 8 to 63 of the family's 71-position model. Rfam says of the family: Transfer RNA (tRNA) molecules are approximately 80 nucleotides in length. Their secondary structure includes four short double-helical elements and three loops (D, anti-codon, and T loops). Lineage: Eukaryota; Metazoa; Chordata; Lepidosauria; Squamata; Lacertidae. The record is from RNAcentral.
GAUAGCUCAGUUAGUUAGAGCGUGGUGCUGAUAAUGCCAAGGUUGCAGGUUCUAUCCCUGUAUAGUCCCA